Long non-coding RNA from Hypanus sabinus (Atlantic stingray), 2096 nucleotides. RefSeq lists it as uncharacterized. The record is from RefSeq and is a predicted model, not a curated record. NCBI's taxonomy places the organism in Eukaryota, Metazoa, Chordata, Chondrichthyes, Myliobatiformes, Dasyatidae. The transcript has 3 exons.
AACAGAGGGCAGAGUUUCUUAACUGAGUGCUGCAACACGAGAUUUCAUACAGCAGGAAACCAAAGGAAGAGACAACAAGUUACUAAAUAGAAAGAAAAAAGUCAGGUGUGCAAUUAUCAACCUCUCAACAACUGCUCCAUACGUACUGAGGCUUUGUUUUGACUCGACAAUAGUGACCUUCCAACGAUUCACAAAGGAUUUGGAGCUUUUUAUAUCUCACAGGUCUGUACAGACAAUUGAGGAACAAGUAGAUCAGUGGAGAAAAUCUACCAGCAUAGCAGCACCUGUGGGAGGAAAGGAAUUGUCCAAUCUCUGAAUCAGGGCACCUGCAUCCAAGAUCACUCGUUGAGCAGUUUUCCUGAAUUAAUACCAACUCUCCUCACAGUUAUGACUUCAGCAAAAUUACAUUGGAAGCCAAAAUAGCUCUUUCAGCUAUUGUGGACAAGGACAGAAUGAAUGCUGCACUGAAGGGACGAGUUGGUGAAUCCACUGAAGGUGCAAAGGAACCAGCAUUUUAGAGCUUUGCAAGCUAGACACAGUUUUUAGGUUCCAAGAUACUUCACAGCAUGGAUAGCACUGUUCCAGAGACCUGGAUUCUGGAUUCAAUCCUGAUCUCUGGCACUGUCUGUGUGGAGUUUGCAUGUUCUCUGUUAGUCAUUGUGGGAUUCCACCUACUCUGAUUUUCUCCUGCAUUUCAAUGAUAUGCAAGUUGGUCAGUUAGGUGGUCUUUGUAAAUUGCCCUGAGUGUGUAGGCACGUGGUGAAAUGUGGCUGGAGUUACUGGGAAAUUGGGAAGAAUAAUAAAUGGGGCUAGUGUAGGAUUAAUGUGAAUGGGUGCCUGACGGCUGGCAUGGACUCUGUUGGCAAAGAGCCUACUCUGUAGUGUAUGAUAUGAUGAAGUUGCCAGGUGGGAGAUGCCAUAAGUGUCCUCAAUAAUUGCCUGCAUUUCUGUGAGCCUUGAAACGCUGCCAACUGUCAUGUUAAUGUAAAUACAUAGGACACAUCUUUAAAAAUUUGAUGGCGCAGCAUUACCACUGGGUUUUUCCUUGACACCUGUACCAUAGCAAUAAGGAAGAAAGUAUCACAUGUGGCACACUUAGUCCAAAGAACUGGCUGCUUUCUCCAGUCAAUCUGUUCCAGUACAGUUAUAACACCGAACACCAACUUUCAAACAGGCAUUCCAGUCCAAGCACCAUCACAGCAAGAGAUUAUAAAUGGAGAGAGGAAAUGAUUUAAGGAUGGUUUCAAAGUGAGAGUUUGCACACAGAGAGAAACAAGAAGAUGAAGAAGAUAACAUUGGCAUCUACUCAACAUUCUGGUGGUGUCCAUGAGCUAACUAUUCCACUUGUGGAAUUGCAUGGAAAGUCCUGCAGAGAUUGUGUGUCAACUUUUCUGAAGGAUUCUGGGGCUCAUUUGAAAUCCAGCCUCCAUUUUAAUAUGAUUAACUGUGGCCUGCCUGACAAUGGGGAUGAAACCUAUCGCACAGGUGGAAUGAAUUGAAAUUUGAAAAAUAGAGAACAGGAAGACCAAAACAAAGCUACAUAUUGGGAGGGGCACCGUCGCAUUACAGUUUUAACAGAAGUCACUUGCGAUCUCUUCAAAGAUGGGAUUGGUUAAGCUGCAGUUGAAGUUCUUUCAUAACACACUAUUACACACAUUUUCUGCUGAACACGAUCAAUUUCUAAAUUCUGGAACUUUCUUCCCAAUGGACCAGACAACUGCAGCUGUUUCAGGAGGCCGUUCUGCACCGCUUCUCAAAGGGAUGUGCAAUAAUUAAGUGCUUUUCCAGCAAUGCCCUCAUUCUGAAAUGAAUAAAAACAAAGGACUCGGGAAACCAAUUGGAGUUUCUGCACGGGAGGUGUCAACUAGAUUCGUAUAUUUUACAGAAAUGUGAUAUCAUCCUCCCUAAUGAAGGGCUUUGGUCUAAAACGUUAACUGUUUAUUCCCCUCUUUAGAUGUUGCCUGACUUGCUGAGUUCCCGCAGCAUUUUGUGUGUGUUUCGUAGAAGGGUCCUGAGCUGAAAGUGUUGCAGGACUCGACUUAGGUGAGCUGAUUGAUGCACCAUCAAUAACUCUCUCUGAGACGUAAAGGCGAGAU